GACGAACGCUGGCGGCGUGCUUAACACAUGCAAGUCGAACGGAAAGGCCCUGCUUUUGUGGGGUGCUCGAGUGGCGAACGGGUGUGUAACACGUGAGUAACCUUCCCUUGACUUUGGGAUAACUUCAGGAAACUGGGGCUAAUACCGGCUAGGAGCUCCUGCUGCAUGGUGGGGGUUGGAAAGUUUCGGCGGUUGGGGAUGGACUCGCGGCUUAUCAGCUUGUUGGUGGGGUAGUGGCUUACCAAGGCUUUGACGGGUAGCCGGCCUGAGAGGGUGACCGGCCACAUUGGUACUGAGAUACGGCCCAGACUCCUACGGGAGGCAGCAGUGGGGAAUAUUGCACAAUGGGCGGAAGCCUGAUGCAGCAACGCCGCGUGCGGGAUGACGGCCUUCGGGUUGUAAACCGCUUUCGCCUGUUACGAAGCGUGAGUGACGGUAAUGGGUAAAGAAGCACCGGCUAACUACGUG
RNAcentral lists this ribosomal RNA (468 nucleotides) under uncultured bacterium. RNAcentral describes it as "partial 16S ribosomal RNA". It matches the Rfam family "Bacterial small subunit ribosomal RNA", at positions 28 to 507 of the family's 1533-position model. The record is from RNAcentral.